GUGCCUGAAAAAAGGAUUAUCGUGAUAGGAUAAAUCAUGUAAUUAUUAAUUACCU
RNAcentral lists this transfer RNA (55 nucleotides) under Symploce tubercularis. RNAcentral's name for it is "tRNA-Ile". Lineage: Eukaryota; Metazoa; Arthropoda; Insecta; Blattodea; Blattellidae. The record is from RNAcentral.